GACGAACGCUGGCGGCGUGCUUAACACAUGCAAGUCGAACGGUGAAGCGCCUUCCUUUUUGGUGGGUGUGGAUGAGUGGCGAACGGGUGAGUAACACGUGAGUAACCUGCCCCCUUCUUCUGGAUAACCGCAUGAAAGAGUGGCUAAUACGGGAUAUUCUGGGUCUGUCGCAUGAUGGGUCUGGGAAAGAUAUUGUUUCGGUGGGGGAUGGGCUCGCGGCCUAUCAGCUUGUUGGUGGGGUGAUGGCCUACCAAGGCGGUGACGGGUAGCCGGCCUGGGAGGGUGGACGGUCACGCUGGGGCUGAGACACGGCCCAGACUCCGACGGGCGGCAGCAGUGGGUAAUAUUGCACGAUGGGCGCAAGCCUGGUGCAGCGACGCCGCGUGAGGGAUGGAGGCCUUCGGGUUGUGAACCUCUUUCGCCAGUGAAGCAGGCCUGCCUCGUUUGUGGGUGGGUUGACGGUAGCUGGAUAAGAAGCGCCGGCUAACUACGUG
Molecule: ribosomal RNA, 494 nt
Filed under: uncultured bacterium
Lineage: Bacteria
Description: partial 16S ribosomal RNA
Rfam family: Bacterial small subunit ribosomal RNA
Source: RNAcentral